GGCUCCCAAAGGCACGUG
This 18-nucleotide small nuclear RNA is filed under the name Arabidopsis thaliana (thale cress). RNAcentral describes it as "snRNA_17046". Lineage: Eukaryota; Viridiplantae; Streptophyta; Magnoliopsida; Brassicales; Brassicaceae. The record is from RNAcentral.